GAUGAACGCUGGCGGCGUGCCUAAUACAUGCAAGUCGAGCGAACAGACGAGGAGCUUGCUCCUCUGACGUUAGCGGCGGACGGGUGAGUAACACGUGGAUAACCUACCUAUAAGACUGGGAUAACUUCGGGAAACCGGAGCUAAUACCGGAUAAUAUAUUGAACCGUAUGGUUCAAUAGUGAAAGACGGUUUUGCUGUAACUUAUAGAUGGAUCCGCGCCGCAUUAGCUAGUUGGUAAGGUAACGGCUUACCAAGGCAACGAUGCGUAGCCGACCUGAGAGGGUGAUCGGCCACACUGGAACUGAGACACGGUCCAGACUCCUACGGGAGGCAGCAGUAGGGAAUCUUCCGCAAUGGGCGAAAGCCUGACGGAGCAACGCCGCGUGAGUGAUGAAGGUCUUCGGAUCGUAAAACUCUGUUAUUAGGGAAGAACAAAUGUGUAAGUAACUAUGCACGUCUUGACGGUACCUAAUCAGAAAGCCACGGCUAACUACGUG
This 497-nucleotide ribosomal RNA is filed under the name uncultured bacterium. RNAcentral's name for it is "partial 16S ribosomal RNA". It matches the Rfam family "Bacterial small subunit ribosomal RNA", at positions 28 to 507 of the family's 1533-position model. The record is from RNAcentral.